Molecule: long non-coding RNA, 1440 nt
Organism: Zophobas morio
Lineage: Eukaryota; Metazoa; Arthropoda; Insecta; Coleoptera; Tenebrionidae
Exons: 3
Source: RefSeq, a predicted model, not a curated record
UGGGUAGAUGCUUACUCUUAUUAUAGAUACAAAAAAAUCUAAUUCUAAUUUAAAAUCCAAUACUCAACCCUAAAAAGUUAAAUAGUCGGGAAGCAAAUGAACAAUAAACAGGUGGACGCAGACAAAAGGUGGACAAAAGUAUCUAUCGAAAACACUGAUGAGCACAUCCCCGACAUUGCAGCAUAUAAAUAUGAGUUUCAUCAUAAGCAGUUAUCAGGUUAUCACCUUCACAGUCCACGAGAGUGCGUACAAUUAUUGCCACAACUACAAAAAUUUGAAGAUUUUGAAUAUGGUUUCUUAACCAUAUAGAUUUUUAGAUGCUUUUAACUAUUAAACUGACAAUUUGUUCCUUUCCUCGUACUGCAUAUACAAACUACCUACAGCAUUUUGUUUUACUUACUCAUUGAGGUUGUGUUUCUAGUACAUUGUUCUAAUAACUUUGAUAACCUAUAACUUUUUUUUUUCAUUUUUCAUAAACACGUAAGGAAGAUAAACAUUUUAAUAUUUAGCUGGUGUACGUUACAAUAUUUCUUUGAAAAAUAUGGCACCAUUUUUAGGUGAAUGUUCAGUGAUGCGAGAGAUUUCAAAAACCGAACAGGCCAUUAAAGACUGCUACUCAAGAGUUCUAUCACUGGAAAAAAAAAUCGAGUCAGAUAAGAUCUCUGAUGCGAAAAAGGAUAUGAUGAGAAGAGAACUUUUGGAAGUUCGGAAACUCUUAGUAACUAACGAAACUCAGUUGUCACAAUUACACAAACAUAACAGAAAAUCUUUCGCUUUUGUAGCAGCAUUUUGUUUUAUAUGUUGUACUGUGUAUGCUUUGUAUAUCUUAGUUAAUGGGCCAGACUUUUAAUAUGUUAAGACAAAACAGAGUUGCGUUACAUUACAACUGGUAUAAUUAUAUAUACAUAUGAAAUACUUAAGAAUUAUUUCUGAAUUUUCCAAUCAUUUUUUGUGGCACUUAAUAAUUUUUAAAAAUAUUUUGUGUUGAUGGAAAUAAUCAAUUAUAAAGUGACUGUAGCGAAAUAAAUAAGUUGGGGACUCUUAUCUGCGACCUCUUCCUCUACCUCUACCUCUAGGACCGCCUCUUCCACGGCCACGUCCCCGGCCUCUGGAUGCACCACGAGCACUCUCCUUCUUCUUUGCUUUGGCUUUGGGAGUAUCAUCAAUCAACAACGUUUCUAAUGGUAAACUAUCAGGUAAAAUAUAAUACCGAAUGUUAUUGCCCCUAACAGUUAAUGUAUCCAAGUUAACAGGAUUUCGAUUUUUUACAGUGACUUUUACAGCUUUUAGGUGUGUAUUCAUUGCUACAUCUACACCCGUGAUGGUCCCAUGUACUUGUGUACCAUUUUUUAGUUCCAUGGUUACAGUCUCAUGACUUAACUUCAUCAAAAACCUGAAAACAAAAAAAGUUGGGUUAGGUAAAUAAACAUGUUAUCGCAG